UAAUGAUAACAUUUACUACCAGCCCACUCACCGACUCGCUCUCUCAAACACACCUUCGCAGUGUCCGGACACUCGUCGAUGUUGAGGUCAUCACUGUCCAAUCGGAAGCCAGCGCCAACAGGAGGCCAAAUGUUGGUUGCUGCGCUCAAACUGGACAAACUGCCACUUGAGGAAAGCCAUGCUGCAGAGGUUAUCUCACCGCUGCACUUAAAGAGCUCAUAGAGAAAGAAUGUGUGACGUUAUCCGCUCUGCUGAUUGGCCGCUGGCCGCUGGCAUUGUCAACCGUUGAUAGGUACCACCAUCAUCUUAAAGUCACGCAACCAAACAAAAAGCUGCAGCUGCAUUGACUUGAACCUAAAUUUGCUUCCUGGACUUGAUGUCAGUGGAGGACCUGGUCAGCCGUCCUCUUGACAAAAGCUUUGGUCGUGCAGGCCAACUCUCUUCCUGCCCUGCGGCACUCCGGAUGUCAUUUGUCAUAAGCGGUACAAACAAAACGCAAACUAUGUGUCAUUACUUUCAAUGAUGCAGGGCUUUUUUUUAAAUGCAUAUCUUCUCAUUUACUCAAAUGCUUCGCUCAGUUCUGCCUUUUCUAUUCCUCUUUUGUGGUCACACCCAUUUCCUCCUGAUUUCUUUUUGAAGCCGCUCAGCGAGCUGUCGGCCAGUCGUCAAUGAAACAUGCCAAUGGCGCUCUCUUAUGGAUACAAGAGUCAUGUCAUGGUUUUGCAAUCCACGCAUACGAGAACAUGACGUUGCGGAAUAUAUUAGCAAUGAUCAAGCAUUUUUUUUCUGUACUUCAAUUCAAGUGGACCUCAUAUGCUAUAUUACUGUGUAUAAGAGAGCGAAAUAUUUCAUGAUUUUUUUCAUACAUUUAAAAACUAUAUGAAAUAUAUUAUUUCACUUAUUUUUAGAGUGUACUAGUGAAAUGCAGUGAAUAAACUAAAUAUAUAAUUUAUUGAGAUGCACUUAUUUAGAGCUUUAGGAGAGCCACUUCUCCAUGUUAAUAAUAAAUAGUAUGUGUUACAAUUGAA
Long non-coding RNA from Syngnathus typhle (broad-nosed pipefish), 1028 nucleotides. RefSeq lists it as uncharacterized. Lineage: Eukaryota; Metazoa; Chordata; Actinopteri; Syngnathiformes; Syngnathidae. The record is from RefSeq and is a predicted model, not a curated record. The transcript has 2 exons.